GGCCUCUUCUAAGCUACCGCGUCGGGAUCGGCCCGCGUCUCAUUAGCUUGAUGGUGGGGUAAUGGCCUACCAUGGCUCCGAUGAGUAACUGGUCUGAGAGGAU
RNAcentral lists this ribosomal RNA (103 nucleotides) under Okeania sp. SIO3B3. RNAcentral describes it as "partial 16S ribosomal RNA". It matches the Rfam family "Bacterial small subunit ribosomal RNA", at positions 194 to 301 of the family's 1533-position model. Lineage: Bacteria; Bacillati; Cyanobacteriota; Cyanophyceae; Oscillatoriales; Microcoleaceae. The record is from RNAcentral.